This 594-nucleotide ribosomal RNA is filed under the name Exserohilum turcicum. RNAcentral's name for it is "eukaryotic LSU rRNA". It matches the Rfam family "Eukaryotic large subunit ribosomal RNA", at positions 39 to 648 of the family's 3401-position model. Lineage: Eukaryota; Fungi; Ascomycota; Dothideomycetes; Pleosporales; Pleosporaceae. The record is from RNAcentral.
CAUAUCAAUAAGCGGAGGAAAAGAAACCAACAGGGAUUGCCCUAGUAACGGCGAGUGAAGCGGCAACAGCUCAAAUUUGAAAUCUGGCUCUUUCAGAGUCCGAGUUGUAAUUUGCAGAGGGCGCUUUGGCUUUGGCAGCGGUCCAAGUUCCUUGGAACAGGACGUCACAGAGGGUGAGAAUCCCGUACGUGGUCGCUAGCUAUUGCCGUGUAAAGCCCCUUCGACGAGUCGAGUUGUUUGGGAAUGCAGCUCUAAAUGGGAGGUAAAUUUCUUCUAAAGCUAAAUAUUGGCCAGAGACCGAUAGCGCACAAGUAGAGUGAUCGAAAGAUGAAAAGCACUUUGGAAAGAGAGUCAAACAGCACGUGAAAUUGUUGAAAGGGAAGCGCUUGCAGCCAGACUUGCUUGCAGUUGCUCAUCCGGGCUUUUGCCCGGUGCACUCUUCUGCAGGCAGGCCAGCAUCAGUUUGGGCGGUGGGAUAAAGGUCUCUGUCAUGUACCUCUCUUCGGGGAGGCCUUAUAGGGGAGGCGACAUACCACCAGCCUAGACUGAGGUCCGCGCAUCUGCUAGGAUGCUGGCGUAAUGGCUGUAAGCGGC